This 479-nucleotide ribosomal RNA is filed under the name uncultured bacterium. RNAcentral describes it as "partial 16S ribosomal RNA". It matches the Rfam family "Bacterial small subunit ribosomal RNA", at positions 28 to 523 of the family's 1533-position model. The record is from RNAcentral.
GACGAACGCUGGCGGCGUGCUUAACACAUGCAAGCCGAACGGUAAGGCCCUUCGGGGGUACACGAGUGGCGAACGGGUGAGUAACACGUGGGUGAUCUGCCCUGCACUUCGGGAUAAGCCUGGGAAACUGGGUCUAAUACCGGAUAGGACCACUGCCUGCAUGGGUGGUGGGGGAAAGCUUUUGCGGUGUGGGAUGGGCCCGCGGCCUAUCAGCUUGUUGGUGGGGUGAUGGCCUACCAAGGCGACGACGGGUAGCCGGCCUGAGAGGGUGACCGGCCACACUGGGACUGAGAUACGGCCCAGACUCCUACGGGAGGCAGUAGUGGGGAAUAUUGCACAAUGGGCGCAAGCCUGAUGCAGCGACGCCGCGUGAGGGAUGACGGCCUUCGGGUUGUAAACCUCUUUCAGCACCGACGAAGCGCAAGUGACGGUAGGUGCAGAAGAAGGACCGGCCAACCACGUGCCAGCCGCCGCGGUAA